RNAcentral lists this ribosomal RNA (253 nucleotides) under uncultured bacterium. RNAcentral's name for it is "partial 16S ribosomal RNA". It matches the Rfam family "Bacterial small subunit ribosomal RNA", at positions 524 to 776 of the family's 1533-position model. The record is from RNAcentral.
UACGUAGGGGGCAAGCGUCGUCCGGAAUCAUUGGGCGUAAAGAGCGCGUAGGCGGUCCGGUAAGUCCGCUCUGAAAGUCCGGGGCUCAACCCCGGGAGGCGGGCGGAUACUGUCGGGCUAGAGUCCGGAAGAGGCGAGUGGAAUUCCUGGUGUAGCGGUGAAAUGCGCAGAUAUCAGGAGGAACACCAAUAGCGAAGGCAGCUCGCUGGGACGGUACUGACGCUAAGGCGCGAAAGCGUGGGGAGCGAACAGG